Molecule: long non-coding RNA, 693 nt
Organism: Mauremys reevesii (Reeves's turtle)
Lineage: Eukaryota; Metazoa; Chordata; Testudines; Geoemydidae
Exons: 3
Source: RefSeq, a predicted model, not a curated record
UCUCAGGAGCCAGGGCAAAUCCCGCCCCUCGCGUAGUGGUGCGGGCUGGUUCCGUCAGAGCGGUGUCGCGAGCUGCUCGUAGCUAGGGCACGCGGCACCCCGCCAGGCAGCUCCGGCCGGGGGCAGUGUGCCAGGGUAGGGCGGAGGAGGUGAGGUGUUUCUAGCCCAGGGUGGCUGUGCCAGGGCAGGGCUAGCGAGGAGGCUGCACACAGGCGCUAUGGAAGCCUAAGUAGAGUCAGAACAGGCUGUAUCCUGACAUCUGGUGGGGGAGAGCCUGAAGAUAUAUUGGUGAGUGGCUAACGGGACAGCUGGUGGAGAGAAGCAGCUCGGGGUGAAGACUGCAGCAGAACCCCACGCAGAGGCAUGGCAAUUGACCAUCAACACGAGCAGCGGAGCACGGAACCCCUAUGUGCUGAACCCGGCCCUUGCUGCUGUCAACUCGGCCUCGCAGAAGGGUUACAGAAGAAAAAGAGAGAGAAGAAAGAGAGAAAGAAAAAACCAGCUGGACCUAUUAAAGAAGCAGAACCAGAACCCCCUGGCCCCAACGACUUCCAUCACUCUCAAAAUCCACAAAUGGGAACACUUAUGUCCUGCAUACAGUGAGGACGAUGAAAUUGCUGAAUAUCUGACUACCUUUGAAAGACUGUAAUACAUGAAAUCCCUUGUGGAAGCCAGUAAAUAAUUAACAAGGUU